UACGUAGGGCGCAAGCGUUGUCCGGAAUCAUUGGGCGUAAAGAGCUCGUAGGCGGCCUGUCGCGUCCGCUGUGAAAUCCCGGGGCUUAACCCCGGGCGUGCAGUGGAUACGGGCUGGCUGGAGGCAGGCAGGGGAGAACGGAAUUCCCGGUGUAGCGGUGAAAUGCGCAGAUAUCGGGAGGAACACCGAUGGCGAAGGCAGCACUCUGGGCCGGCACUGACGCUGAGGAGCGAAAGCGUGGGGAGCGAACAGG
RNAcentral lists this ribosomal RNA (253 nucleotides) under uncultured bacterium. RNAcentral describes it as "partial 16S ribosomal RNA". It matches the Rfam family "Bacterial small subunit ribosomal RNA", at positions 524 to 776 of the family's 1533-position model. The record is from RNAcentral.